This is a long non-coding RNA of Equus asinus (donkey), 1588 nucleotides long. The record is from Ensembl. Lineage: Eukaryota; Metazoa; Chordata; Mammalia; Perissodactyla; Equidae.
UUUCGUAUGAAAUGCAGGUGCUUUGCAUCCUGGCCACGUGGCUUCUGUGCUGUGCCUUCAGCUGACCCCCCCCUUCCCUCCCCAGGGAGCUGAUCACACCCCACCAGCCCUGCCUGCUCCUGUGCACUUAACAUCCAGUGUUGUCACGGAUUAUUUAUGCUUCUAAUUCGUCUAUUCCUGAAGACAAAGACAGGCUCUCUCGGUAUUGGCCUCCUUGUCUAGCACAGACUCUUACAGAAUGCAGGCUGCAACAUUUAAAUAUUUGUUGAAUACAUGGAGGCUAUGUAAGUAACUUUUUCCUUUAAAUUUAAUUGGACUGACUAGGGGAUCUUGAAAUUUAAAUGAAGACUCUAAAAUGAAUAAUAAAGAAAGGAAUAUCUUUAAAAACGAUUCUAAAAAAUUCACCUUUAAAGAAUGCCUUUAUAGAGUCAAUAAUUACCAAUUUGUUAAAUUUCCCGAAUCUGAAAUUCAUUAUAGUGGGUGUCCGUGGCCCUCUAGUGGCGCCAAAGGGUUACAGCAUUAGUUCCAGGCUCUGGAAACCCUGACCUUCUCUCAAAAUGGCCGCUCACCAGGGAGAAACGUUAUCUACUGAGCAGAGCAGGACCGUUUGGAGACAGAACAAUGACAAGAGACAAAUGUUUCAGCAGCAACAGUGUAAUCAGCUCAACCAGUAACUUGGCCUUUUAUAUAGAAUCCUUAAUGCUAUUCCUCUGUUUACAAAACAAAGAAACACCCCAAAGCCUUAGGUGCUGGGGAAACGCAAAGCAGAGCUCCCUCUUCUGAGCAAAGAAAGUUCUGAACAUGUUUGCUGCAAUUUCCUGAAAAGUUAAACCCACUGCAGUAAAGAACAGAGUGAGCCCUGUCUUCUUCAUCUUCAUUACUCCUCUCUCCUUUGGAUCAAUGGAAAUGAGCUUCGUUAGGAAAGUAGUCUCUUCGAGUGCUUAAGGGCCUGGCGUCAGGAGCAGAACUACCUGCGUUUCAAACCAGAUGCUGCUACUUACUAGGUGCCUGACGGUGGCAAAGUUCAUGACUGAUCUCAUCACGUGAGUCCUUCAAAGUGGAGAAUCAUUCCUGGCUGGGUCAGACAGGGGCAGGAGGAGUGAUUCAAAGUGUGAGAGGGACUUGGCCCACCCACCGAUGUUGGCUUUGAAGAUGGAGGAAGGGGACCAGGAGCCAAGGACUGUGAGUGGCCUCUAGAAACUGAGAAUGGCCCCCAGAUGACAACCAGCAAAAAACAGUGACCUUGGUCCUACAACCUCAAGGAGUUGAAUUUUCUUACAACCCAAAUGAACAAGGAAACAGACGGUCCCCUAGAGCCUACAGAAGGGAUUGUGGCCCUGCUGAAACCUUGAGCUUAAGCUGGUGAGACCCACGUUGGACUAAUAACCUACAGAAUUGCAAGUGUUCCUGCAGCCAUGUACAGAAGAAGAGCCACACGGAGAAGCAUCUUCCUUUCUCCCGCCCGCUGGGGUGCCAAGCACUCCUGGUCUCACCCAGCAUCCUGUGAGGGAGCGGGAGAUCGGAGCUUCAGCUCCCUGCUCCUCAUGCUUCUGAGAUUGGGUGGUGACGUCCUCUCACACGUGAAAAC